UACGUAAGGGGCAAGCGUUGUCCGGAUUUAUUGGGCGUAAAGAGCGUGUAGGCGGUUUGGUAGGUCCGUUGUGAAAACUCGAGGCUCAACCUCGAGACGCCGAUGGAAACCAUCAGACUAGAGUCCGGAAGAGGAGAGUGGAAUUCCUGGUGUAGCGGUGAAAUGCGCAGAUAUCAGGAAGAACACCCGUGGCUAAGGCGGCUCUCUAGUACGGUACUGACGCUGAGACGCGAAAGCGUGGGGAGCGAACAGG
This 253-nucleotide ribosomal RNA is filed under the name uncultured bacterium. RNAcentral's name for it is "partial 16S ribosomal RNA". It matches the Rfam family "Bacterial small subunit ribosomal RNA", at positions 524 to 776 of the family's 1533-position model. The record is from RNAcentral.